UCGUCGUCGUCGUCGUCGUCGGGUAACGUCGUCGAUACGUCUUACGCCGUGUUCCGUAAUCUACUGACGGUGCUGACAGCACCGUGGCCGUAAAUACGGCUUUUCAUGCCUUCCGAAAUACAUUACUACUGUCUGUGAUGUAUAAUGGAGCGAUUCUUAGUUAGGCACACUUGGCUCGAUUCAGCUCGGCUUCGACUACGUGUGUAGAGUUACGGACAGUUACCGCGGCGGAAAGUUUACGACAAAUAGUUGACGAGAGUUUGGAUUCGGAUGAUGCAUUCUUAACUCCGUUUACUGAAAAUACUUUGCGAGGUCAACGUAUUCCAAGGCUUCGAGCGCAAAAUUAUAUCAAUGAUGCUGCAUUUCGGGUGUCAACGUUUUAGCAGAGAUAUUCGGAAGUCGACAGUUUCUCGAGGGUCGAUUUAUGAAAACUGUUUACGACGGCUCAUUUCAAAGAACAGCAAUACACCCUCUAGUAUAUAGGUCUGCCUAUUUUAGCUAUACCUAUUCUCAAACUUUCCAAAUUUAAUUCCAACGCGGAUUUUUUUCCUUUCGUCCGCGCAAGAAUUUUGACGGAGUCGAAAGACGAUGGUGAACACGUAACAGCGCUGUUUCCUACUUGUACAAAUUAAUUAUCGAAUAACGUUGUGGAAAAAGAACUCAAGUUUCAUCUCGAAUUCUUCGUUGGUACAAAUUAAUCGAGAAUUUGAUCGAGACGAGCGUGUAUUGAAGCUUCUCGAAGGAGGAAGGGAAGCUAAAUACAACAUGUGCGACUAAAACAAGCAGAAGCAGCGUUAUCAGCAGUGUGUCGAAUCGUUGCUUAUUUGGAGGGAUUUCAAUUUUACCAGCAUUUUUUUUUCUGAAACAUCCGUUUAAGCGAUCUCGCAAGUGAUGCGCGAAGGCUACGACAGAUCCAAACGGAAGUGCAGCUUGGCUCGUACUAAACGGAACUGACCCAGCUUCGCGGCUUUCUACCCUUCUCUGAUCUGCCUCACCCUCUUCUCGCUCUCCAUCUCGCUCACCUUCUCUCUCAUCCGUUUUCUCAUCCCUCCUCGCUCCGCUCGCCAACUCCGUCUCGUUUCUUCCUUCUCGACGUUCUCCCCGCUCGACGACGAGGUACCCUCGAGAAGUUUCAAUUUAUACGGAAAGUCGUCAUGAGACCGAAUGCACAAAUACGUACGCCGCUGCUACUAGUCCAUUCAUAUCAGCUGGCAUGAUGUAAACACGGCAAAAUCGUGGCACAGCGAGAUGUAAUUCUACACCGCGAAUCAUCUUCAGCUGAUAUUACAAACGUUAUACGCGACGCGUUUUAAUUGGCUUUCAGUUUUAGAGAGACACGUAGGAUUUUAUAUAAAUUAUUAU
This is a long non-coding RNA of Camponotus floridanus (Florida carpenter ant), 1362 nucleotides long. RefSeq lists it as uncharacterized. The record is from RefSeq and is a predicted model, not a curated record. The transcript has 3 exons. NCBI's taxonomy places the organism in Eukaryota, Metazoa, Arthropoda, Insecta, Hymenoptera, Formicidae.